AUGGUAGGUGAAGAUGCAGUGCAGUCUCUGUAGCAAAGAUAAGCAAUGUAAAAUGUCUUCUUGUAGUACUUCAAAUACUGAUACUUCAUCAGCCCAAUCAUCUCGUCCCAUCAGCAUUUUAUUCAAAUUUUGCUUGGACAUGGAAAAGCUCAAUAUGUUCAUUGUACCAAAUUAAAGGUGUUGACAAGGAUGCAUCUAUACGUGUUACAUUGGUUUCCAAUGUGCUUUUACAUCUAACAUGACUAUAAUAUUAUGAAAUCUUGAACUUUUUAAUAAUAAUUAAAUUGUUUGUGAUGAAACAUCUAUUAAAAUAAUAGGAUUUGAAAUUGUAAUUAGUUAAUUGUUUUGUCCCCUCGACUUCUAGUGUGCUUAGUUACCUUUGUUAAAUUGUGCUGAAGUGUUGGUCAA
Molecule: long non-coding RNA, 408 nt
Organism: Populus euphratica (Euphrates poplar)
Lineage: Eukaryota; Viridiplantae; Streptophyta; Magnoliopsida; Malpighiales; Salicaceae
Exons: 2
Source: RefSeq, a predicted model, not a curated record